AUCCAGCUGAUGAGUCCCGAAUAGGACGAAAUGUGUGUGUCCUAGAU
Molecule: non-coding RNA, 47 nt
Organism: Schistosoma curassoni
Lineage: Eukaryota; Metazoa; Platyhelminthes; Trematoda; Strigeidida; Schistosomatidae
Source: Rfam